CCGAUAGCGAACAAGUACCGUGAGGGAAAGAUGAAAAGAACUUUGAAAAGAGAGUUAAACAGUACGUGAAAUUGUUGAAAGGGAAACGAUUAAAGUCAGUCGUACUGACGGGGAAUCAACCUCUUGAGCGUGAAUCAGUGGGGACCAUGUUCUUACGAUAUUUGCGUUUUUUUGGUGUACUUUCUCGUAUUGUAGGUCAGCAUCGGUUUUGAUCGUCAUAAAAUG
This 225-nucleotide ribosomal RNA is filed under the name uncultured Glomus. RNAcentral describes it as "partial 25S ribosomal RNA". It matches the Rfam family "Eukaryotic large subunit ribosomal RNA", at positions 334 to 560 of the family's 3401-position model. Lineage: Eukaryota; Fungi; Glomeromycota; Glomeromycetes; Glomerales; Glomeraceae. The record is from RNAcentral.